GACGAACGCUGGCGGCGUGCUUAACACAUGCAAGUCGAACGGAAAGGCCCCUUUGGGGGUACUCGAGUGGCGAACGGGUGAGUAACACGUGAGUAACCUGCCCUUGACUUCGGGAUAACUUCAGGAAACUGGGGCUAAUACCGGAUAGGAAUCCUUGCUGCAUGGUGGGGGUUGGAAAGCUUCGGCGGUUUUGGAUGGACUCGCGGCUUAUCAGCUUGUUGGUGGGGUGGUGGCUUACCAAGGCUUUGACGGGUAGCCGGCCUGAGAGGGCGACCGGCCACAUUGGGACUGAGAUACGGCCCAGACUCCUACGGGAGGCAGCAGUGGGGAAUAUUGCACAAUGGGCGGAAGCCUGAUGCAGCAACGCCGCGUGCGGGAUGACGGCCUUCGGGUUGUAAACCGCUUUCAGCAGGUGCGAAGCUUGUGGUGACGGUACCCGCAGAAGAAGCACCGGCUAACUACGUG
Molecule: ribosomal RNA, 465 nt
Filed under: uncultured bacterium
Lineage: Bacteria
Description: partial 16S ribosomal RNA
Rfam family: Bacterial small subunit ribosomal RNA
Source: RNAcentral